RNAcentral lists this ribosomal RNA (1285 nucleotides) under uncultured eukaryote. RNAcentral describes it as "SSU rRNA". It matches the Rfam family "Eukaryotic small subunit ribosomal RNA", at positions 51 to 1348 of the family's 1831-position model. The record is from RNAcentral.
AUGCAUGUCUAAGUAUAAGCAAUUAUACCGCGAAACUGCGAAUGGCUCAUUAAAUCAGUUAUCGUUUAUUUGAUAGUACCUUACUACAUGGAUACCUGUGGUAAUUCUAGAGCUAAUACAUGCUAAAAACCCCGACUCACGAAGGGGUGUAUUUAUUAGAUAAAAAACCAACGCCCUUCGGGGCUCCUUGGUGAAUCAUAAUAACUUAACGAAUCGCAUGGCCUUGCGCCGGCGAUGGUUCAUUCAAAUUUCUGCCCUAUCAACUUUCGAUGGUAGGAUAGGGGCCUACCAUGGUGGUGACGGGUGACGGAGAAUUAGGGUUCGAUUCCGGAGAGGGAGCCUGAGAAACGGCUACCACAUCCAAGGAAGGCAGCAGGCGCGCAAAUUACCCAAUCCCGAUACGGGGAGGUAGUGACAAUAAAUACUGAUACGGGGCUCUUUUGGGUCUCGUAAUUGGAAUGAGAACAAUUUAAAUCCCUUAACGAGGAACAAUUGGAGGGCAAGUCUGGUGCCAGCAGCCGCGGUAAUUCCAGCUCCAAUAGCGUAUAUUAAAGUUGUUGCAGUUAAAAAGCUCGUAGUUGAACCUUGGGUCUGGCUGGCCGGUCCGCCUCACCGCGUGCACUGGUCCGGCCGGACCUUUCCUUCUGGGGAGCCCCAUGGCCUUUACUGGCUGUGGGGGGAACCAGGACUUUUACUGUGAAAAAAUUAGAGUGUUCAAAGCAGGCCUUUGCUCGAAUACAUUAGCAUGGAAUAAUAGAAUAGGACGUGCGGUUCUAUUUUGUUGGUUUCUAGGACCGCCGUAAUGAUUAAUAGGGAUAGUCGGGGGCAUCAGUAUUCAAUUGUCAGAGGUGAAAUUCUUGGAUUUAUUGAAGACUAACUACUGCGAAAGCAUUUGCCAAGGAUGUUUUCAUUAAUCAGGAACGAAAGUUAGGGGAUCGAAGACGAUCAGAUACCGUCGUAGUCUUAACCAUAAACUAUGCCGACUAGGGAUCGGACGGGAUUCUAUAAUGGCCCGUUCGGCACCUUACGAGAAAUCAAAGUUUUUGGGUUCUGGGGGGAGUAUGGUCGCAAGGCUGAAACUUAAAGAAAUUGACGGAAGGGCACCACCAGAAGUGGAGCCUGCGGCUUAAUUUGACUCAACACGGGGAAACUCACCAGGUCCAGACAAAAUAAGGAUUGACAGAUUGAGAGCUCUUUCUUGAUUUUGUGGGUGGUGGUGCAUGGCCGUUCUUAGUUGGUGGAGUGAUUUGUCUGCUUAAUUGCGAUAACGAACGAGACCUUAACC